This is a long non-coding RNA of Poecilia latipinna (sailfin molly), 2926 nucleotides long. RefSeq lists it as uncharacterized. The transcript is spliced from 3 exons. Lineage: Eukaryota; Metazoa; Chordata; Actinopteri; Cyprinodontiformes; Poeciliidae. The record is from RefSeq and is a predicted model, not a curated record.
GCAAGACAGUUACACUUUUUGCCAACCUGACUGCAGCACCUUUUUCCACAUGCCUGCUGUGUCCCAUACUGUCUUGCAGGCAUGAUUUCUUCCACAUUUCUUUCAAAAGGCUCUAUUCUUCCCAAAAGGCACGUUUGUAGGAUUCAUGACUAAUUGUUGCCUGUCAACAAAUUCUCCCACACGAGUCUCUGCAGCUCUGCCAGAGCUACCAAAGGCCCUUAUUAUUAAUACUGCUGUUGAUGAAUGCUCUCCAUGUUUGCUUUUUUCCACACUCUUUGUAUUGUUUGAUCCUUUUUGCUCCUUUAGAUGUUCUUUGCUUUGUCUAAUUCUGCCUUGAAUUUCUUCCCAACUUUCUUUCGGACUUGUCUGCUGUGUUGUUGUUGUUUUUUUAUGAUAAUGUUCAUUCACUUAUGUUCUCUAACAAUCCUCUGAGGCCUACAUAGAAUAGCUGAAUUUAUACUGAGAUGAAAUUACACAGGGCUUGACAAAUUAGAGCAAUCUGGAAUUUAUUUAGGAGCAUCAGAGUAAGGGUGACUGCAUACAAAUAUGCAACGUAACUUCAAGAAUUUUUUAUUUUUUUUGGUAAACAAAAAAUGUAAUAUCUUACAAUACAUGUUUUCAUUACACAAUUAAGUCCUCUACAGUGACUGCAUGCUAUUGAGAAGUAAUUUGUGCCACAUUAAUAAUGAAAUCCAGGACGCAGAAUCUCACACAGAGUGAGAGCACUAACCAGAUUCCUUACAGGCGCGCCAACUAAAUUUGGUAAACCAGGAAGACCUUGUAAAAGCAGUUUAGAAGACUGAGCAAACACACAGAGCAAAAUGUAGGCUACUAAAUUAUUACAUGAUGUCUUUUUGGUUUUGUCAGUAAGUAAAGCUCUCAUUUUAUUUAGCAUUAUUUUACGCCAUGAAAUAACACAGAAGAGGAACUUCUGAAAUGUCAAGCGGCGAGAAGGACAACCCUCAAAUAAACAUGAGGCCUAACAACUUGUCUUUUUUAGGAUCUCAACCGUGAUCCUAGUCCCAAACUUUUUUCUUUUUUUUUCUUCUUUCUUCCUGUCUCGUGACAGACAAAUGUCGGUCAAUCAUAGGCAGUGUGUCGGUACAAUGCCGCUGCUUGGUGACUCAUCGCUAAAUCUAUCAUUGUCGACGGACAUAUGCGGCAUGUGGUAUGAGAAGUGACACCGGUGUCAGCGCGGAGCAUUUUUCAGCGUGGGCUUUUAUACCCGCUCACCAGUCAGAAAGUACGCAACCAAAUGGUCAGCUAUAUUUACCAGCGUGAGACUAUGGGACAACAACAAGAACAACAACAUUUGUCAAGAUCCUCCUUUACAUCAGCUGGUGAUCUCUUCUUCCAGAAUCAGACUCCGCUUUAUUCGACAGCUGCAGGCCUGUAGGGGGCGUACAGACUCGGGCUUCCUGUUGGAAGGUGACUCAUCCAGCUUUGUCAGCUCUUAGCAACCCUGUUCUGCAGAACAGCACCUCAGCAUGAUGCUUCCACCACCACGUUUCACAGAGGUGCAGUUAGAGGGAUGAGGAGCGUCAGUUUUCCCCAUUGCACAUAUUGUUUGGCUUGUGAGCCAGAAAGUUCAAAUUUGGUCUCAUCUGACCAUGCAGGGUAAACGUAUGCUCUUUCCCACUGUGUGGCUUCUAUCACUUCCACGACUGCUUAUCAACUUUUUCUACAUACGCUGUCUUCUUGCCACUUUUUCCUGAGGCUAAAUGUGUGAAAUAUAACUCACUACAGUUGUCGUGUCAACAGAUUCUUCCACCCGAGCCGUAAAUCUCUGCAGCUUCUCUGCGUCUUUGCCGUUUUCUCUGAUUAGUGUGUCAGUUUAUGUUUAAUGUUCUCAUACAGAUCCCCAAGGCCUUCGCAGAGACAGUCAGAUUCGAACUGAGAAUAAUUCAGUCAGAAGGAUGCUUUAGAUUUAAUUUGAGGUUAUCCGACUUCCAGUGGGAGGAGUACACGAGCAAAAGUGAUGUGGAAAAAGUCGCAUAAGCGCAAGGAACCCAAAUUAAAAAAUAAAAAAUAAAAAAAUAAACAGUUACACAAAUAUAGGACUAGCAAUCAUUUCAUACUGGUGUUUCAGGAGAAUGAGUUUUCAUUUCUGCUAAUUAUUCAGGAGAAUUUCACUCUUCUCUGUGCCUUUAACAUCCAGAAGAACACACAUCCACAGUGGGGGGUGAUGAGUAAAAGGGCAAGCAUACUGCAGGGCAGCCCAGAAAAGCCCGGUGUUGGAAGCUGCUGUCACACAGCUUGCUCCGAAGGAAAUGGUGGAAAAAAAAAAAAGAACAUAGAUUUUUUUUUUUUUAUUCUCCUCCAAUGCAGGAAGAGCUGCAGGUAUAAGCUCCGUGUUUGGCAGUUCUCCAGUCUGAUCCACGGUGGACAGCUGGACUGCGCUGUCUGUCAGUACUUAUUUUAGUUGGUCAGUGGUAAACAGGCGUUCGUGGUUCAGAUGUAAUCUCAACCUCUUCACCGCUGCGCGCAGUAAAAUCCCAGCUCUAUAAGAGGCGGACACGGCGCCGGACGACACCUGACAGAAAGUUCAUUUCCAGCGCAGUGAAAUGACAAAUGGAUGGACGGGGCCGUGGCCACCAGAGAGCUCACUCACAGACCUUUCCGCUCUACGCCCACUGAAAACUUCACUGUUGUCAUUAACAUCAGUUCUAAAUUUAAAGAUUAUUUAGUGUUGGCAGAGACUGGUUUUAAAAGGGAUGAACUCAAUGAUUAAAAAGGCGAGGGUUGGCUUUGGAUGCCCGCGCGCAACAACUUCAGAUUAUUUCUUACCUUGUUUAAUACAAUUAUAUAAUAUAUUAUCGCUGCAUACUUUUAUGGUUAACUACAUACAAGUUGGCUCGUGUAAAUAUAACCUCUAAAACAAUAUAUAAAUGAAAUGCCUGUGCAGACAAAUAAAAAACACGCACCA